CCUGUCGGCAGUAGCGCGGUGGUCCCACCUGACGCCAUGCCGAACUCAGAAGUGAAACGCCGUAGCGCCGAUGGUAGUGUGGGGUCUCCCCAUGCGAGAGUAGGGAACUGCCAGGC
Molecule: ribosomal RNA, 116 nt
Filed under: Salmonella enterica subsp. enterica serovar Enteritidis
Lineage: Bacteria; Pseudomonadati; Pseudomonadota; Gammaproteobacteria; Enterobacterales; Enterobacteriaceae
Source: RNAcentral